RNAcentral lists this ribosomal RNA (2776 nucleotides) under Kosakonia oryzae. RNAcentral describes it as "bacterial LSU rRNA". It matches the Rfam family "Bacterial large subunit ribosomal RNA". Lineage: Bacteria; Pseudomonadati; Pseudomonadota; Gammaproteobacteria; Enterobacterales; Enterobacteriaceae. The record is from RNAcentral.
AGCGUACACGGUGGAUGCCCUGGCAGUCAGAGGCGAUGAAGGACGUGCUAAUCUGCGAAAAGCGCCGGUAAGGUGAUAUGAACCGUUAUAACCGGCGAUGUCCGAAUGGGGAAACCCAGUGUGACUCGUCACACUAUCAUUAACUGAAUCCAUAGGUUAAUGAGGCGAACCGGGGGAACUGAAACAUCUAAGUACCCCGAGGAAAAGAAAUCAACCGAGAUUCCCCCAGUAGCGGCGAGCGAACGGGGAGCAGCCCAGAGCCUGAAUCAGCUUGUGUGUUAGUGGAAGCGUCUGGAAAGUCGCGCGAUACAGGGUGACAGCCCCGUACACAAAAGCACACAGGCUGUGAGCUCGAUGAGUAGGGCGGGACACGUGGUAUCCUGUCUGAAUAUGGGGGGACCAUCCUCCAAGGCUAAAUACUCCUGACUGACCGAUAGUGAACCAGUACCGUGAGGGAAAGGCGAAAAGAACCCCGGCGAGGGGAGUGAAAAAGAACCUGAAACCGUGUACGUACAAGCAGUGGGAGCAUCCUUCGGGGUGUGACUGCGUACCUUUUGUAUAAUGGGUCAGCGACUUAUAUUCUGUAGCAAGGUUAACCGCAUAGGGGAGCCGAAGGGAAACCGAGUCUUAACUGGGCGUUAAGUUGCAGGGUAUAGACCCGAAACCCGGUGAUCUAGCCAUGGGCAGGUUGAAGGUUGGGUAACACUAACUGGAGGACCGAACCGACUAAUGUUGAAAAAUUAGCGGAUGACUUGUGGCUGGGGGUGAAAGGCCAAUCAAACCGGGAGAUAGCUGGUUCUCCCCGAAAGCUAUUUAGGUAGCGCCUCGUGAAUUCAUCUCCGGGGGUAGAGCACUGUUUCGGCUAGGGGGCCAUCCCGGCUUACCAACCCGAUGCAAACUACGAAUACCGGAGAAUGUUAUCACGGGAGACACACGGCGGGUGCUAACGUCCGUCGUGAAGAGGGAAACAACCCAGACCGCCAGCUAAGGUCCCAAAGUCAUGGUUAAGUGGGAAACGAUGUGGGAAGGCCCAGACAGCCAGGAUGUUGGCUUAGAAGCAGCCAUCAUUUAAAGAAAGCGUAAUAGCUCACUGGUCGAGUCGGCCUGCGCGGAAGAUGUAACGGGGCUAAACCAUGCACCGAAGCUGCGGCAGCGACACUAUGUGUUGUUGGGUAGGGGAGCGUUCUGUAAGCCUGCGAAGGUGGCCUGUGAGGGUUGCUGGAGGUAUCAGAAGUGCGAAUGCUGACAUAAGUAACGAUAAAGCGGGUGAAAAGCCCGCUCGCCGGAAGACCAAGGGUUCCUGUCCAACGUUAAUCGGGGCAGGGUGAGUCGACCCCUAAGGCGAGGCCGAAAGGCGUAGUCGAUGGGAAACAGGUUAAUAUUCCUGUACUUGGUGUUACUGCGAAGGGGGGACGGAGAAGGCUAUGUUAGCCGGGCGACGGUUGUCCCGGUUUAAGCGUGAAGGUGUGUGUUCCAGGCAAAUCCGGAGCACUUUAACACUGAGGCGUGAUGACGAGGCACUACGGUGCUGAAGUAACAAAUGCCCUGCUUCCAGGAAAAGCCUCUAAGCUCCAGGUAACACGAAAUCGUACCCCAAACCGACACAGGUGGUCAGGUAGAGAAUACCAAGGCGCUUGAGAGAACUCGGGUGAAGGAACUAGGCAAAAUGGUGCCGUAACUUCGGGAGAAGGCACGCUGAUACGUAGGUGAAGUCCCUCGCGGAUGGAGCUGAAAUCAGUCGAAGAUACCAGCUGGCUGCAACUGUUUAUUAAAAACACAGCACUGUGCAAACACGAAAGUGGACGUAUACGGUGUGACGCCUGCCCGGUGCCGGAAGGUUAAUUGAUGGGGUCAUCCGUAAGUAGAAGCUCUUGAUCGAAGCCCCGGUAAACGGCGGCCGUAACUAUAACGGUCCUAAGGUAGCGAAAUUCCUUGUCGGGUAAGUUCCGACCUGCACGAAUGGCGUAAUGAUGGCCAGGCUGUCUCCACCCGAGACUCAGUGAAAUUGAACUCGCUGUGAAGAUGCAGUGUACCCGCGGCAAGACGGAAAGACCCCGUGAACCUUUACUAUAGCUUGACACUGAACACUGGUCCUUGAUGUGUAGGAUAGGUGGGAGGCUUUGAAGCGUGGACGCCAGUCUGCGUGGAGCCGCCCUUGAAAUACCACCCUUUAAUGGCUGGUGUUCUAACGUGGACCCGUGAUCCGGGUUGCGGACAGUGUCUGGUGGGUAGUUUGACUGGGGCGGUCUCCUCCUAAAGCGUAACGGAGGAGCACGAAGGUCAGCUAAUCCUGGUCGGACAUCAGGAGGUUAGUGCAAUGGCAUAAGCUGGCUUGACUGCGAGCGUGACGGCGCGAGCAGGUGCGAAAGCAGGUCAUAGUGAUCCGGUGGUUCUGAAUGGAAGGGCCAUCGCUCAACGGAUAAAAGGUACUCCGGGGAUAACAGGCUGAUACCGCCCAAGAGUUCAUAUCGACGGCGGUGUUUGGCACCUCGAUGUCGGCUCAUCACAUCCUGGGGCUGAAGUAGGUCCCAAGGGUAUGGCUGUUCGCCAUUUAAAGUGGUACGCGAGCUGGGUUUAGAACGUCGUGAGACAGUUCGGUCCCUAUCUGCCGUGGGCGCUGGAGAAUUGAGGGGGGCUGCUCCUAGUACGAGAGGACCGGAGUGGACGCAUCACUGGUGUUCGGGUUGUCAUGCCAAUGGCACUGCCCGGUAGCUAAAUGCGGAAGAGAUAAGUGCUGAAAGCAUCUAAGCACGAAACUUGCCCCGAGAUGAGUUCU